GACGAACGCUGGCGGCGUGCCUAAUACAUGCAAGUAGAACGCUGAAGGAGGAGCUUGCUUCUCUGGAUGAGUUGCGAACGGGUGAGUAACGCGUAGGUAACCUGCCUGGUAGCGGGGGAUAACUAUUGGAAACGAUAGCUAAUACCGCAUAAGAGUGGAUGUUGCAUGACAUUUACUUAAAAGGUGCAAUUGCAUCACUACCAGAUGGACCUGCGUUGUAUUAGCUAGUUGGUGGGGUAACGGCUCACCAAGGCGACGAUACAUAGCCGACCUGAGAGGGUGAUCGGCCACACUGGGACUGAGACACGGCCCAGACUCCUACGGGAGGCAGCAGUAGGGAAUCUUCGGCAAUGGACGGAAGUCUGACCGAGCAACGCCGCGUGAGUGAAGAAGGUUUUCGGAUCGUAAAGCUCUGUUGUAAGAGAAGAACGAGUGUGAGAGUGGAAAGUUCACACUGUGACGGUAUCUUACCAGAAAGGGACGGCUAACUACGUGCCAGCAGCCGCGGUAAUACGUAGGUCCCGAGCGUUGUCCGGAUUUAUUGGGCGUAAAGCGAGCGCAGGCGGUUAGAUAAGUCUGAAGUUAAAGGCUGUGGCUUAACCAUAGUACGCUUUGGAAACUGUUUAACUUGAGUGCAAGAGGGGAGAGUGGAAUUCCAUGUGUAGCGGUGAAAUGCGUAGAUAUAUGGAGGAACACCGGUGGCGAAAGCGGCUCUCUGGCUUGUAACUGACGCUGAGGCUCGAAAGCGUGGGGAGCAAACAGG
This 763-nucleotide ribosomal RNA is filed under the name uncultured Streptococcus sp. RNAcentral's name for it is "bacterial SSU rRNA". It matches the Rfam family "Bacterial small subunit ribosomal RNA", at positions 28 to 776 of the family's 1533-position model. Lineage: Bacteria; Bacillati; Bacillota; Bacilli; Lactobacillales; Streptococcaceae. The record is from RNAcentral.